Molecule: long non-coding RNA, 680 nt
Filed under: Homo sapiens (human)
Lineage: Eukaryota; Metazoa; Chordata; Mammalia; Primates; Hominidae
Description: HSALNT0208114
Source: RNAcentral
UUGUAGCUGAGAUGAUUUAUGUAUUUCUGGCUGGGAUGGUCAGACGCAUAGGGGAACCAUGGAGUUAUUCAGGGAUGGAACCCCCUCCCACCCUGGGCAUUGGUAAGCCUCAGCUUUGGGUCUUGGUAGCUGUGCUUGCUGGGUGGAUGGUGGAGUGGUCUCUAAGUUGUGUUUCCCUCAGCAUCCAUGACCCUGGGGAAAGGUGCUCUGGCAGCAGGAGUCUCAGGAGGGAGAGCGCAGUGAGCUGUGGACCCCAGGAAGCCCCAUGUCUUUUCUCUUAGGUGAGAGCUCGAGGCCUCUACUCUCCUCGGUCAAAUCUCUGGGCUUGUGGGGAGACAGCUCAUCUCCUUUUUUCCUCAUUCUCACAUCCGGGAUGGUGGGUUUUCCUGGCCCUCAGCAUAGCCUGCUAAGCGGAAGCUUUUAGAGGUUAUUCCAAGAAGAGGUUGACUUAGGCAGCUUGUUGAAUGAGGCUUCCUGGACAGCAUCAUAGACAAAUGCCUUGGUUUUUCUCUGCCCAGCUAGUGAUCACCAGCAAGCAGAAAAUGACUCCUACCAAACCCAGUCAAACAGAGGCACAGUCUCUGCUCUUCCAAAUCAUUUUAAUGAAGGCAUCGGCAGCAGGACAUACAACACGCCCAGAUACACAGCAUAGCAGGGCCUCGAUAAUGAGAUAAUUUCCC